RNAcentral lists this unclassified non-coding RNA (642 nucleotides) under Bombus terrestris (buff-tailed bumblebee). Its description in RNAcentral is "misc RNA ENSBTSG00005020565.1". The record is from RNAcentral. Lineage: Eukaryota; Metazoa; Arthropoda; Insecta; Hymenoptera; Apidae.
AAGAGCGAGGAUCUGGAUCAACAUACAUUAUACUUAUACGUAUACCUUUAUUCAUUUCAAAAUAUUUUUCUACUACAAAUUCAUCCACUCGUUCUUCUAUCAGUCAACCUCAACAGAUAAAACCUAUUAUUGGCACUCAAGAUUAACAAGAUUGGCACGAAGAAGAAAUGGAGUCAUCGAAUUCGUUUCAAUUCUAUCUAAAAUCGAGAGCUAUCAUUGAGAUCAUGAUUACUCAAGAUAAUUCAAAGACAGAAGGUAAUUAAAAUCGUGACAUCGACGCUAAAAAUGACCAUCGUCAAAUGAUCAUCAAAACAGCGGGAUUAUUUAAACAUGCGCAUCGUAAGACUAAUCGAGAAAGAAACCAACAACAAAGUAGCGAGACUCCGGUUUCAAAUCGAGAGAAACUCAUUAUGAGAGAUCACCGGAAAGUUUUGGCGGUACAAUCGAGCACAGCCCCUGCCCCUCCCCCCGCGGAACACCGAUAAGAUUGGCUGGAAGUAAUUACGGGGUCCUCAAUUAAGCCGACGCCCGAUAAUUUCGUGCGAGGAUCUGGAGCGUCAGAAUCACAACGAAGCUAAUUAUUGAGAUUUUCGUCAGGUCGGCUGACAGGGACCGUUGCUCCGUGUAAUUCCACGUUAAUUG